UUUUGUUUACAAAGAAAUGAACUACGACACAGAGAAGAUUAGCAUGGCCCCUGCACAAGGAUGACACACAAAUUCAUGAAGCCUCCGUAAAAAGA
Otolemur garnettii (small-eared galago) is the source of this 95-nucleotide small nuclear RNA. The record is from Ensembl. NCBI's taxonomy places the organism in Eukaryota, Metazoa, Chordata, Mammalia, Primates, Galagidae.